AAAAAAAGCUUCUAAGCUUCAGGUAACCAGGAACCGUACCCCAAACCGACACAGGUGGUCGGGUAGAGAAUACCAAGGCGCUUGAGAGAACUCGGGUGAAGGAACUAGGCAAAAUGGCACCGUAACUUCGGGAGAAGGUGCGCCGGCUAGGGUGAAGGAUUUACUCCGUAAGCUCUGGCUGGUCGAAGAUACCAGGCCGCUGCGACUGUUUAUUAAAAACACAGCACUCUGCAAACACGAGAGUGGACGUAUAGGGUGUGACGCCUGCCCGGUGCCGGAAGGUUAAUUGAUGGGGUUAGCGCAAGUGAAGCUCUUGAUCGAAGCCCCGGUAAACGGCGGCCGUAACAAUAACGGUCCUAAGGUAGCGAAAUUCCUUGUCGGGUAAGUUCCGACCUGCACGAAUGGCGUAGCGAUGGCGGCGCUGUCUCCACCCGAGACUCAGUAAAAUUGAAAUCGCUGUGAAGAUGCAGUGUAUCCGCGGCUAGACGGAAAGACCCCGUGAACCUUUCUGUAGCUUUGCACUGGACUUUGAGCCUGCUUGUGUAGGAUAGGUGGGAGGCUUUGAAGCGUGGACGCCAGUUCGCGUGGAGCCAUCCUUGAAAUACCACCCUGGCAUGCUUGAGGUUCUAACUCUGGUCCGUAAUCCAGAUCGAGGACAGUGUAUGGUGGGCAGUUUGACUGGGGCGGUCUCCUCCUAAAGAGUAACGGAGGAGUACGAAGGUGCGCUCAGACCGGUCGGAAAUCGGUCGCAGAGUAUAAAGGCAAAAGCGCGCUUGACUGCGAGACAGACACGUCGAGCAGGUACGAAAGUAGGUCUUAGUGAUCCGGUGGUUCUGUAUGGAAGGGCCAUCGCUCAACGGAUAAAAGGUACUCCGGGGAUAACAGGCUGAUACCGCCCAAGAGUUCAUAUCGACGGCGGUGUUUGGCACCUCGAUGUCGGCUCAUCACAUCCUGGGGCUGAAGCCGGUCCCAAGGGUAUGGCUGUUCGCCAUUUAAAGUGGUACGCGAGCUGGGUUUAGAACGUCGUGAGACAGUUCGGUCCCUAUCUGCCGUGGACGUUUGAGAUUUGAGAGGGGCUGCUCCUAGUACGAGAGGACCGGAGUGGACGAACCUCUGGUGUUCCGGUUGUCACGCCAGUGGCAUUGCCGGGUAGCUAUGUUCGGAAAAGAUAACCGCUGAAAGCAUCUAAGCGGGAAACUUGCCUCAAGAUGAGAUCUCACUGGGAACUUGAUUCCCCUGAAGGGCAGUCGAAGACUACGACGUUGAUAGGCUGGGUGUGUAAGCGUUGUGAGGCGUUGAGCUAACCAGUACUAAUUGCCCGUGAGGCUUGACC
RNAcentral lists this ribosomal RNA (1333 nucleotides) under metagenome. RNAcentral's name for it is "bacterial LSU rRNA". It matches the Rfam family "Bacterial large subunit ribosomal RNA", at positions 1610 to 2925 of the family's 2925-position model. The record is from RNAcentral.